UCCGUAGGGUGAAUUGCGUAGAUAUCUGUGGAACUUCAAGGCAAUUUUGCUGCUGGAUCACAACUGUCGGUGAGGGACGAAGGUAGGGGAGCAAACUGGGUUAGUUAUCUUGGUAGUCCUACCCUAAAUCAUCAGGACUUGGGGUUUGCCCUGUAUUGGCAAGUCCUGUAGCUAACGAUUAAGUCCUGCGCCUAGGGAGUUCGGUAGCAAGACUAAAAUAUAUGGAAUUGACGGGGGACCGCCCAAGCGAGGGAACAUGUGGUUCAAUUAGACGCAAAGCGCAGAACCUUACCUGGGCUUGAACCGCACAGGACCAUAGUUGGAAACAGAGACUUCCCUCAAGGUACUUUUGUAGAGGUGGUGCAUGUCAGUCGUCAGCUCGUGCCGUGAGGUGUUGGGUUAAGUCCAGCAGCGAGCGCAACCCUUACUCAUAGUUACCACCCGCAAGGGGGACCUCUAUGAGGACUGCUCCGGAUAACGGAGAGGAAGGUGGGGAUGAGGUCAAGUCUGCAUGGCCUUUAUGUCCAGGGCCCCACACGUGUUACAAUGCGCGCCACAAAGGGUUGCAAGCCCGCGAGGGGGAGCUAAUCGCAAAAAAGCGCGCUCAGUUCGGAUUGCAGUCUGCAACUCGAUUGCAUGAAGCAGGAAUCGCUAGUAAUGGCGCAUCAGAACGGCGCCGUGAAUACGUUCCCGGGCCUUGUACACACCGCCCGUCACAUCACGAAAGUGGGCUGUAAUAGAAAUCGCCGUGCCACCCGCAAGGAGGCAGGCGCUCAAGGUAUGACUCAUGAUUGGGGUGAAGUUGUAACAAGGUAACC
Molecule: ribosomal RNA, 818 nt
Filed under: uncultured soil bacterium
Lineage: Bacteria
Description: bacterial SSU rRNA
Rfam family: Bacterial small subunit ribosomal RNA
Source: RNAcentral